CUACGCACUCCUACGGGAGGCAGCAGUGGGGAAUAUUGCACAAUGGGCGCGAAGCCUGAUGCAGCCAUGCCGCGUGUAUGAAGAAGGCCUUCGGGUUGUAAAGUACUUUCAGCAGUGAGGAAGGUGGGUAUGUUAAUAGCAUACUCAUUUGACGUUAGCUGCAGAAGAAGCACCGGCUAACUCCGUGCCAGCAGCCGCGGUAAUACGGAGGGUGCGAGCGUUAAUCGGAAUUACUGGGCGUAAAGCGCAUGCAGGUGGUUUGUUAAGUCAGAUGUGAAAGCCCGGGGCUCAACCUCGGAAUUGCAUUUGAAACUGGCAAACUAGAGUACUGUAGAGGGGGUAGAAUUUCAGGUGUAGCGGUGAAAUGCGUAGAGAUCUGAAGGAAUACCGGUGGCGAAGGCGGCCCCCUGGACAGAUACUGACACUCAGAUGCGAAAGCGUGGGGAGCAAACAGGAUUAGAUACCCUGGUAG
RNAcentral lists this ribosomal RNA (472 nucleotides) under uncultured bacterium. RNAcentral's name for it is "bacterial SSU rRNA". It matches the Rfam family "Bacterial small subunit ribosomal RNA", at positions 329 to 793 of the family's 1533-position model. The record is from RNAcentral.